CCUACGGGAGGCAGCAGUGGGGGAUAUUGCACAAUGGGGGAAACCCUGAUGCAGCGACGCCGCGUGUGGGAAGACGGUCUUCUGGAUUGUAAACCACUGUCCCCAGGGACGAAAAUGACGGUACCUGGGGAGGAAGCUCCGGCUAACUACGUGCCAGCAGCCGCUGUAAUACGUAGGGGGCAAGCGUUGUCCGGAAUUACUGGGGGUAAAGGGAGCGUAGGCGGGAUGGCAAGUUGGGGGUCAAACCUACCGGCUCAACCGAUAGUCGCGGGCAAAACUGCAACUCUUGAGUGAAGUAGAGGCAGGCGGAAUUCGUGGUGUAGCGGUGAAAUGCGUAGAUAUUAGGAGGAACACCAGUGGCGAAGGCGGCCUGCUGGGCUUUUACUGACGCUGAGGCUCGAAAGUGUGGGGAGCAAACAGGAUUAGAUACCCUAGUAGUC
Molecule: ribosomal RNA, 440 nt
Filed under: uncultured bacterium
Lineage: Bacteria
Description: partial 16S ribosomal RNA
Rfam family: Bacterial small subunit ribosomal RNA
Source: RNAcentral